Haplochromis burtoni (Burton's mouthbrooder) is the source of this 5398-nucleotide long non-coding RNA. RefSeq lists it as uncharacterized. The transcript is spliced from 2 exons. NCBI's taxonomy places the organism in Eukaryota, Metazoa, Chordata, Actinopteri, Cichliformes, Cichlidae. The record is from RefSeq and is a predicted model, not a curated record.
AGCACAACAUUUUUUUUGUAUCGAAAAAAUAUCGAACCGAGACACCAAAGUAUCGAACCGAACCGUGAAUUUUGUGUAUCGUUGCACCCCUAAUAAACAUAAUUAUGAUUGUGCUGAUGCCAGACUACCGUCUCCUUAGUUUAUGUGAUAAUUUUAUGUUAAGGUUCUUGCUGUUUUUAAAAAAAUCUGAGCAUACACAUUUAAACACCAUCGUAAACUGAGUCUAGCCUCUUCUCCUGAACCUUUGCGAACUGCAGUGUUUCUCAGGGACUCUUGAUUCAGUUCUGUUGGCCAACAUUCAACUUUUCAACAGGAGCACUAAGAUGCGACGUCGGCCGGUGGGAAAUUAGAGUAGCUAUAAUGAAUAUAGAAUUAAAUUCUCAAAUUUUAACAUCCAAGGUUGUGUGUAGGACACUGCAGAGCCAAUAGAGAGCCACAGUCACUGUUGCACUAUAGAGGGUAUUAAUGACUGUGCACGGUAGCGGUGUCCUGGCAGCAGGCUGGAAGCAUCUGGAAUGCAGACAGAGUCCUAAUUACAGAGAGGAAUGGAGAACUAAGCAGAGGAACCAGGCUCGCCUGCUCUUUUUGUCAGAGACAGAAUGGAGCCUGAUUCACACGUGUGAAAUGAAGGUUAGUCCCACUCUGUUUGCUAGGACACUGGGGUGAUUUUCCUUUUUUAGGGACCCAGAGUCACACUGAACAAGCUGCAGAAGCAAAAGCAAAAGACCAGGUCUAACCCGGCUAACCUGGAUGCUUUUAUGAACUCCACUUUUUACAAAUUGACGAGCAAUGAUUUGUAAAUCUCAUCAUGUUUUAUUCACAGUAGAACACAGAAAACUGAGAAAAUUUACAGUUUUAAGAAAAAACAAUAAGGUCAUUUUAAAAUUGAUGGCAGCAACACGUCUCUCAAAAGUUGGAAAGAGGGCGAGAAAAGUAAGUGGUAUUAAAACGAAACACCUGGAGGUAUGUUUUGCAUCUAAUUAGCUUAACUGGUAACCUGAUUAGAUGGAAAAUGUAGCCUAAUUAGGUUAAUUAGCAACAGGUGAGUAUAGAAAGAGGAUCUUAGCGAGGCAGUGUUUCUGAAUCUACAAAUUGUAGAAAAAUUUCAGAAUAAUGUUCCUCUAUGCACAAUUCUGAAGACUUUGAAGAUCUCGUUAUCUGCAGUACGUAAGGCAAAAGUUUGAGAAUCUGGGGAAAUCUCAAGGGAUGAGGCCAACAAUCAGUAGUGGAUGCCUGUGAUCUUUGGGCCCUCAGCUGGCAUUGCAUUAAGAGCAGGAAUGACUCGGUUGUUAAAAUCACUGCACGGGAUGAGCAGCACUUCCAGGAAUUAUUGUCUGUGCGCACAGUUCAUCACAAAUGCAAAGAAGAAGCCGAAUGUGAACUUGAUCCGGAAACACCACCAUCUUUUUUCUCUGAGGCAAAGUCCGACCCCGGACAAAGCGGAUGACGAUGGAUGGAUGGAUGGAUGGCAAAGUGGAAAACGGUCGUGUGAUCCGACUAAUCUGAAUUUGAAAAGUGAAAAGUACAUACAGGCUUUAGAGCAACAAAUUCUCCCGUCCUGGUGGAAGGCCUUGCACAUUUCUGCAAGAUAACGUUAAACCACACGCUGCAUCUAUUACAACAGCAUGGCUUCAUAGUAGACGAGUCCAGACCUUUCACCAGUUUGGCAGAAUGAAGAAGAGGCGGGACUGCUGAGCAGAGAGAAGGAGAUAGAGAAGGAUAAACAACAUUCCUCUCCCAGAAGUCCGGCAACUUCUCUCCUCCAUUCCUGAUGUUUACUUUUUUGAUUAUCAAAUUCAAAAUCUGCUAUUAUUUUAUGUAAAAUAGCAUCAUGUCAGAGUUUAAACGUUUGAUAUGUUUUCUAUGUUCUAUUGGGAAUAAAAUAGAAUUCAGGUUACAUUAAAUGAGGGACUUUGAUUUAUUUCUUUGACUAUGAUGUUACUUAGAACUGCUCCAAAAAUGUACUACUGUCCUAAAAAGGUUACUGCUACAUUACACUGUAGUGGGCUUACAAAGAUUACAGCCUAUCAAUGUAUAAGGCUACAAUUUAACAAUGCAAAACUGAUAUAAUUCCUAUAUGUUUUUUUGCUGAUGAUAGCAGGUUUUUACAAGUGAGAAGAGCACAUGGAACAGAUGGAAUAAAUACUGUGGACAAUCAUCUGUUGGAUGAACUUCUUGAACUUUUUCACAUUUAGUGUUGCAGUUUGUUUAGAUAGACUUGGCCUGUGUGUGUGUGUGUGUGUGUGUGUGUGUGUGUGUGUGUGUGUGUAUUACCUGAUGACUUUGCUUCUUAUACCUGCUCCCCUUUAUCUUUGAUUUCCAGCAACUUCUAAGAAAAUGUCUGAAUUUGUUAAAUUCGACUCUCUGCUGCGUUCUGUUUGGAAGAUGAACCAUUGAGCUUAUCUCAAGUUAUUUGCUAGAAACUGCUGGCUGUGAUUUUAUGUUGGCAGUUUGUAAAAGCUGCAGUAUCUAACCUUUACAAAUUAGCACUUGUGAUUUGUAAAACCAAAAAAAUAAGAUGUUAUUUGCGAGUUGGACGUCGAUUCUCAGCGUGAUUGACGGCAACAGGAACUUGUUCACGCAGUCUUCAUUUUGUCCGUGACCGUCUUGGAUGGUCAGCAUCAGAAGUAACAGAUAAUAAAAUAGUAGAAUUGCUGAGCCAAACUGAAACAAUUUGAUAAUUCGAUCUUAACCUGCUUCUACGAGCACCGGCCUUCACCUUCCGGAGCAGAGGCUACACAGAUGUCUUACUUAGAUUCUUACGGCCCCGUGCAAUAGUCUUCAUAUACUCCCAUAUUCUCUGUAGGGCUGCGUGCAUAGAUGCAUCGCACCAUAUUUCCUUCUCUGAAAAACUGAAGAGCAAUUCUAGCGGAGAUAAAGUAUUUGCUGUUGCUUUAUUCUCUUUGUGGUAGUUUCCAUCAUAAUCACCAAACUCUGUAAAGUUUGUGACUUUUUGGUAGCUUGUAAUUUUCUCCCAUGGGCGAAAAUGGGUGGAAAUGGACAGGCUAAGCUUCAUUUAAAUAUAAUACAUCUUUAAAAAGCCUCCCCUUCACCUGCACGUGUGUCAGGGUAAAAGCCAGAAAGGUUCGUGCCCUGCAGACACAGUCAGAAGAUGGGAAAUUGUCUCAAGAUGUGGGACAGGGAGACAAAAGAGAGGGACAUUAUGUCGCCCUAGUUUUGCACGAUUCGUUUAUGGGAUUUAUGUGUUGUGCUCAAAAUGCAGUUGAAGCAGCUGACUGAGAGAUGACAGUUUAAAGUGCCUUUGUUUGGCUUGAUAAUGAUGGUGGGGAGACUGACGAGAUUACCCAAAUUACAGACAUCUGUCUCUGGGCUUUAAUCACUCUUUGAAACCACUGUCAGUUUUCAUUUAAAUGCCUUUUCGAUUCAUUAGUAUAUCCAGCAACAAAACAGCUCUGGCCGCUCUGUUCAUAGAUAUUUUUUCACAGAAUAAUUUUCCAGAGAGAAGCGUAUUCGGCAAAAAAAGCAGCAGGUAUUUCAAAGCAAACAAUGGCCGACCACACGGAGCCACGAGUCAAGUGCUUUUGAACCCUCUUGUUGCCAUGCAGUUUCACAUGCUGCUUCAUAGAGGCACUUUGAAUGGCCUGACAAAGUGGGCACCGGUGCAAAAAACAGAUUUUGUAUUCAGCUGCGGGUGUUUGUGCUCGCCGAACGCAAUUUGAUACACGCGGUCUCGAGUGUCAAGCUAAAGAUCGGCCGGCGGGGCUGCUUUUUCAAACAUGUUGAUUCCAGUUUGUGUGCUGGAGUCGUCACUGUGGUCCUUGCAGUUCAUGCAUUGUUGCGCGUAAUCAGACCCCGUGUGGGUUCGGUCAGCACGUAUGUGAGAAAGAAGCGACUGCCAUAUGAGAAGGAAACCAGUGAGUGUGAUUCUUUUUGCGUGGUAUUGCCAAAGGAUUUGAUUACUCUGCUGCCAAUGUCUUAUUUGAUCAAAAAAGACGUCAGCUGAUGUUGCACAUUAUUUACCUCAGGCCGGGAUAAGCUUGGGUUUUGUAGGUGAAGGCCUAAGCUGUUAGGGCUUUUUAACAUUUGAUGAUGCAUUCCUGCUGUUGCACAGACACAGAUAAGAAAUGUCUCACAGCAGGCUGACGUGUGCUGAUAUUAAGUGUGCGCUCUUGUGUAUUUUAUUGUUCCAGAUUAGACCUAAACCCCGGUUGGAGUUGUAGAUAAAACAGGCAGCUGGCUCAGCUUCCAGGUUUGUCCCCAAAAUUAAUUCAAAAUCAUUUGCUUAAAUAUAAAAUGAUAACAAUAAUUUGAUAACUGGUAGCAGCAGCUGGUGUGAUAUCCCAUGCACAUAUGUACCUUUAGGAUCAAAGCUCAUUCAUGAAAUGUGACCUGAGCGUGGUCCAGCAGACCCGAGGUUGGAGACGACCAGAGAUGUGAAACGUGGCUCUGGAUGCUUUGAUUGCCAGUAACUGCAGGAUUAUACUGUAAGUGUUUAGAUUUUCAUCAGCUGUGGUUUAAAGAAGACUUGCUGAUAUCUGCCCUUUCCUUGAUGACAGAAUGAGGAUUUCUUGCCUUCUAAUUGGCUCGAGCCUCCUUUUGUUUCUCCUUGUUUUAAACCUGGUGCAGGCAGCAGCUCUAAAAGAGCAUCAGUGGCGAUUAUAUGUGGCCGGCACGAUUAUUAAAACCAAGAACUGUUAUCAAGUGAUCGAUGCAGAGUUUUUCAUCUUCUGAAAGUAUCCUCUUAAAGUCCGGGAUGCGUGCAUCUAUGUGUGUGUAUGUGUGUGUGCAUGCUCCUCCUUAAGGAGAUUGGUUCAAUAAUACCAGACUUGAGCAUGAGUCAUAUCUAGUAGGAUAUUGAGUAGAGACUUGCAGAGAACAAUAAACAAAUCUAUUUAUCACAAGGGUAACCAAGAUGAUGACGACAGCAUGGUCUGAUCUGGAAGUUUCCACGAGCCCCGUCUGUUUCUGUGGUCACUCCUGGAUUCGGUGCGUAAAGAUAAACUGGAGAUCCAUCUUUGUUACUGCCCCGUUUUAUUGUUGCAACCCUGUUUCUUAAAUAUUACACGCUUACGUAAUAUAAACGGGAUUCUCAGUUGCACAAUGAUCACAGUGCACCAACACUUUUGAAUUAACUGAAUCAGCACUGCAGGAGGAUGGUCGGGGCGCGUUUAGCAGAUUGCACUUUUACAGAAAUGCUAACAUCUUGCCUGCAUUCUUUCCCUAACCUUCCCCAAGUGUUGGCACUCGCAGCACAAACAGUAUGGACAUAACGAAUUAUUGUAAAUGUAUGUAUGCUGAUCUAAAAGUGAGAAGCAGUUCCCUUCAAAACAUACUGGAGUUGAAAAUUGCUCGGACACAGCGUGGCCUUCUCAUUAGACUUGGUACUCUGUAGUCAUACCUCAGCAGUGCACUGUGUGUAGAUCACUGCUGGAAAUGC